Molecule: long non-coding RNA, 3162 nt
Organism: Eucalyptus grandis
Lineage: Eukaryota; Viridiplantae; Streptophyta; Magnoliopsida; Myrtales; Myrtaceae
Exons: 3
Source: RefSeq, a predicted model, not a curated record
AAAGGGGAAUUAAAAAGGAAAAUCCGAAAAGAGCGCAAGAAAAACCCCAUUCCCGCGCUUUCUCAUACCCUAAUCCAUCCCAAUUUGGGGAAGAAUUCAGAAAAAGCUCACUCCACUCAAUUUUUCCCCAAGUCGCUCCUCCUUCAUCCUCUUCCAACUUCCGAUUCCCUUCGCGCUUCAUCGUUGCUCUCUCUCUCUCUCUCUCUCUCUCUCUCUCUCUCUCUCUCUCUCACGCACAUGCAUUUGGAUUUCGCAGAAAUCCUUAGCAACGAGACCGAUCAUCUGUUGAGGAAGUCGCUGCCGGAGAAGGAAGAUAGGAAAUGACGAAGACGAAGCCAUUUCAGGGGGGCGACCGUGUUCGUGCCGAGGAACUUGAGUGCCUCCCGAGCUGUUCGACGCGCUCAAGCUGAACGGAGCUGAGGCCUUCCUCCGCCGCGACCCUUCCAGGAGUGGGCCCCGCGAUUUUCACGCUGUUUCUUCUCCCCGAUCACGUGAGUACGUUGGGAUUGGGCGGCGCUAACGGCUUUUGGGUUCAUUUUGAGAAUUGGGUUUGAGGUUGUUUUACGUCUUGAGAAGUUCGAGGAUCUUCAGGCGAAAGGGUUGUGAGCUAGUCGGUCCGCAGUGUGUGGUGGUUUCGUGCACGAAAGAAUGGAGACCUCUACCUCAAAAAGGGUAUACUUGUUUGUCUUGCGAUGGAUGGUGUCGAAGUCCUUGCAUCUGGAUUUGAGAUGGAUGAGGAGGUAUGCCUGUUCCUAGAUAAGCCUGGCCUUGUAUGAUUUUUUAGCAUGUAAUCUUUGUCGUAACUUGUCACUCAAAUUCAGUGUGGCGCGUCACUUAUCCUUAUCCAUGUAUCCUUCUAUGUGACCGCUUGAAUCUUUUGCCUGCAGACAUGCUUUUGUCUGAACAAAUAUGGUGGCAGCUUGUCAUCUCUCUUAUUGUUUCACCAUUUACGUGAAUCUGCUGGCUGAGAUUGAGAAAUUGGUUAGUUCAACGGGGGGAGUUCUAAGACCAAAACUUCAGCAAUGUUAGCUUCGUAAUUGCAAAGAAUAUUUUGGCUGCAAAAUGCAAGGUUUAAGUCUUGGAGUUAAUAAUUUGAAUUUAGUUUAAGAGUUGCGAAUUUGUUGUAUCUUGUUAAGGUUAAAUCACUUUAAAUGAGAUUCAUUAUGCUUUUUCACUAAGUAUGGGAAGUAUUGUGGGUAGUACUCUCAUUGAGUUGGCUGAACUAAAGAAGAGUUUCCUCCAUAUUUUUUUGAAUAUUCCGUGUGCAAAGUCUUUUAUGAAUUUCAUCUUGAAAGAUAAAUUGUAUUUAUCAAUUAAUGUUGUCAUCAUGCAGUGGGCUUUAAAUGUUCUGAAGAAACCUGUUGUCGCCAUUAAUUGGUUAUACCAAUGUUGUGUUGUGCACCGUGUUGUACCUCAGGAGUCUUACAGAGUUCUUCCAUUUUCUGGAUCGACAAUGUAUGUGUCACAGGAAUUCCUGCACAUACUGAUUAUUUGAUAUAGCUGCUGCUGUUGGUUGUCCUCCAGUUCUUCAAUUUUGAUGUCCUUCAUUAUCUUAGAUGCACAGAAGGAGAUUCAGAAGCAUAUCACACAAAAUGGUGGGAAAUAUUCUGCAGAAUUGACCAGGAAGUGCACUCAUUUAAUUGCAGAAAUAACUUUUUCUUCUUCAAGAUUAAAUUCCAGUGAUUUGCUUGCAUAUUUUCCCUUUGAUAUCAGAUCGCCGUUUGAAAAUGCACAUAUCUUUAUCUUGUCUUCGCAUAUGAAAACACCUUUAAGAGUUUGAAAAGAAAAAUCUGUAUCAUUUCAAGGUUUAGUGACGAUUAUAGUUUGAAAUAGGAAAUAGCUAUACUUGAUUUAAUCCUGGUUUUUGGUAUUAUCCUUUUACUUGGGAAUUUGAUUACUCAUAUGAGAAACAGUGAAACUUCCCGGCAUGAGAAUAUCAUUGACUUUGACUUCUAAAUCAGUCCUGAAGAAUUGUGUUCUGUGGUUCAAGGAAACAAGGUGUUAAAGAACCUACAAUUUGAACUGCCAAUUGUUAAAAGAUCCUCAGCCAGUUCUCGCUUUUCCAGUGUGAGUUAGGACUGCCUGUUGGUUGCUCAAAGCACAUUGCUCAGCAAUGUUAUUACCAUUGAAUCUUUCUAUUGGCCUCAUAUAUGAUGCUCUGUAGCACUGUGAGUCCCACUACGAUGCCCUUGACUGGCUGUAAGCUCCAGAAGAUAAAUACAAGGUUGCUAAAAGAUGGGGUCACAUUCAUAUUUUGAAUCACAAAUGGUUUGAUCAAUUAACUUCUGGGAAAGGGUAGUUCCAUGUCUUCAGUGAAAACUGCAAGUAGUCAGCAAAAUCAGUAGAGGGUUAUUAGAAGUUCACAGUCUCUCCCCUCUUCAAUGGUUGGAGAUCAGGACUUCCAUUCCAUUUCAGCUACUGACCAUGCCAAUCCAGAUUUAGAAACUACUCUCUCACAGAAUGUGUCUUCAAUGUUUGUGGAUCCCCAUUUCCUUGCAAAAGAGGAUAAUAGUGAAGUGGCAGCUGUGCAAUCCAAUGGUGAAGUGAAUCAUGAUGGUUGGGUUGCUGAAGACUGAAAAUGAAGACAAUGACCUGUAUUUGUCAGAAUGUAAGUUAACAUCAUCAAAUGCUCGAUUUCCCCAAGAGUGUUCCUAAAAGAAGUGAUUUGCAACUACCAUUCAAAGUUGGCUUGAAGAUACAAAACUUGGUGAUCUGAUUUUGAAGGCAGUGGAGCCUUAAAUAGUUCUGCUUGACACAUAUGAUGACUGACUAAAGAGUAUAUCAUCGUACACUGCUUUCUCUCAUUUCAUUAUGAUUGUCUGUGCUCUUCAUGUGAACAAUGGGAAGGCUGAAAUGUUAGUAUUGCCGAAUAGGACAGUAGUUGCUGAUUCACAUGACAUUUGGCUGUCUUUCACAUAUGAUUAGUGGCUGAAGGCUGCGAUCCUUUAAAUGGCUUUGUCAGCUUGCAACUCUCCAAUUUGAGGAUACCACGCACUUCAUGACAUGGGUGGCCAAUUUUGCCGAAUGAAAUGAUUGUGUUUACAUGUUAAAAGAUGACAUAUGACUAUAGUUAAUUUGUGUUAAAGACAAUCUUUCAGCUCUUCCCGCUAAUGGCAUGCAUAUAGUUUCCAGGAUGGUAUAUGCUUGUAAGUAAUAAACAGU